This 547-nucleotide ribosomal RNA is filed under the name uncultured archaeon. RNAcentral's name for it is "bacterial SSU rRNA". It matches the Rfam family "Archaeal small subunit ribosomal RNA", at positions 332 to 879 of the family's 1478-position model. The record is from RNAcentral.
GCACCAGGCGCGAAAACUUUACAAUGCCGGCAACGGCGAUAAGGGAACCUCGAGUGCCAGGUUACAAAUCUGGCUGUCGUGAUGCCUAAAAAGCAUUGCAUAGCAAGGGCCGGGCAAGACCGGUGCCAGCCGCCGCGGUAACACCGGCGGCUCGAGUGGUAACCGUUAUUAUUGGGUCUAAAGGGUCUGUAGCCGGCCGGAUAAGUCUCUUGGGAAAUCUGGCAGCUUAACUGUCAGGCUUUCAGGAGAUACUGUCUGGCUCGAGGCCGGGAGAGGUGAGAGGUACUUCAGGGGUAGGGGUGAAAUCUUGUAAUCCUUGAAGGACCACCAGUGGCGAAGGCGUCUCACCAGAACGGACCUGACGGCAAGGGACGAAAGCUAGGGGCACGAACCGGAUUAGAUACCCGGGUAGUCCUAGCCGUAAACGAUACUCGCUAGGUGUCGGCCACGGUGCGACCGUGGUCGGUGCCGUAGGGAAGCCGUGAAGCGAGCCACCUGGGAAGUACGGCCGCAAGGCUGAAACUUAAAGGAAUUGGCGGGGGAGCAC